AUACGUAGGUGCCAAGCGUUAUCCGGAUUUACUGGGCGUAAAGGGCGCGUAGGCGGUCUUGCAAGUCAGAAGUGAAAUUCCUGAGCUCAACUCGGGCGCUGCUUCUGAAACUGCAGGACUUGAGUGCUGGAGGGGAUAGCGGAAUUCCUAGUGGAGCGGUAAAAUGCGUAGAUAUUAGGAAGAACACCGGUGGCGAAGGCGGCUUUCUGGACAGUAACUGACGUGGAGGCUCGAAAGCGUGGGGAGCAAACAGGAUUAGAUACCCUGGUAGUCCACACCGUAAACGAUGAAUACUAGGUGUAGGGGGGAUCGAGUCCCUCUGUGCCGCAGCUAACACAAUAAGUAUUCCGCCUGGGGAGUACGGCCGCAAGGUUGAAACUCAAAUGAAUUGACGGGG
RNAcentral lists this ribosomal RNA (397 nucleotides) under uncultured bacterium. RNAcentral's name for it is "partial 16S ribosomal RNA". It matches the Rfam family "Bacterial small subunit ribosomal RNA", at positions 523 to 918 of the family's 1533-position model. The record is from RNAcentral.